ACUGGUGAAUAGCCCGAAGAAAUUCGGAUUAAUACACCAUAGUAUAUUAGAGUGGCAUCACUUUAAUAUUAAAACUCCGGUGGUUAAAGAUGAGCAUGCGUGACAUUAGCUAGUUGGUGAGGUAAUGGCUCACCAAGGCAACGAUGUCUAGGGGAUCUGAGAGGAUUAACCCCCACACUGGUACUGAGACACGGACCAGACUCCUACGGGAGGCAGCAGUAAGGAAUAUUGGACAAUGGUCGCAAGACUGAUCCAGCCAUGCCGCGUGAAGGAUGAAGGCCCUAUGGGUUGUAAACUUCUUUUGUAUGGGAAAAAACCUCUCUACGUGUAGAGAGCUGAUUGUACCAUAAGAAUAAGGAUCGGCUAACUCCGUGCCAGCAGCCGCGGUAAUACGGAGGAUCCAAGCGUUAUCCGGAUUCAUUGGGUUUAAAGGGUGCGUAGGCGGAAUGAUAAGUCAGUGGUGAAAGCCUGCAGCUUAACUGCAGAACUGCCAUUGAUACUGUCAAUCUUGAGUACAUUUGAUGUGGGCGGAAUGUGUCAUGUAGCGGUGAAAUGCUUAGAUAUGACACAGAACACCGAUUGCGAAGGCAGCUCACAAAACUGUAACUGACGCUGACGCACGAAAGCGUGGGUAUCAAACAGGAUUAGAUACCCUGGUAGUCCACGCUGUAAACUAUGAUUACUCGAUGUUUGCGAUAUACUGUAAGCGUCUAAGCGAAAGCGAUAAGUAAUCCACCUGGGGAGUACGCUCGC
RNAcentral lists this ribosomal RNA (753 nucleotides) under uncultured bacterium. Its description in RNAcentral is "bacterial SSU rRNA". It matches the Rfam family "Bacterial small subunit ribosomal RNA", at positions 135 to 889 of the family's 1533-position model. The record is from RNAcentral.